This 254-nucleotide ribosomal RNA is filed under the name uncultured prokaryote. RNAcentral's name for it is "partial 16S ribosomal RNA". It matches the Rfam family "Bacterial small subunit ribosomal RNA", at positions 524 to 776 of the family's 1533-position model. The record is from RNAcentral.
GACGAACCGUGCGAACGUUAUUCGGAAUCAUUGGGCUUAAAGGGCGCGUAGGCGGCGGCGUAAGUUGGAAGUGAAAUCCCAUCGGCUCAACCGUGGAAUUGCUCCCAGUACUGCGUCGCUCGAGGGAGGUAGGGGUCUGUGGAACUUCUGGUGGAGCGGUGAAAUGCGUUGAUAUCAGAAGGAACGCCGGUGGCGAAAGCGACGGACUGGACCUCUUCUGACGCUGAGGCGCGAAAGCUAGGGGAGCAAACGGG